RNAcentral lists this ribosomal RNA (776 nucleotides) under uncultured Neocallimastigales. Its description in RNAcentral is "partial large subunit ribosomal RNA". It matches the Rfam family "Eukaryotic large subunit ribosomal RNA", at positions 18 to 635 of the family's 3401-position model. Lineage: Eukaryota; Fungi; Neocallimastigomycota; Neocallimastigomycetes; Neocallimastigales. The record is from RNAcentral.
UCAGACGAUGCGUCAUGCAUAUCAAUAAGCGGAGGAAAAGAAACUAACAAGGAUUCCCUUAGUAACGGCGAGUGAAGCGGGAAGAGCUCAAAUUUGAAAUCUUCAAGGUUUUACCUUGACGAAUUGUAGUUUAAAGAAGUGUUUUCUGCUGAAGUUUUGGUAAAAGUUCUUUGGAAUAGGACAUCAUAGAGGGUGAGAAUCCCGUAUUUGACCAUUAUUUUCAGCUUUGUGAUACACUUUCAAAGAGUCGGAUUGUUUGGGAAUGCAGUCCAAAAUGGGUGGUAAAUUUCAUCUAAAGCUAAAUAUUGGCGAGAGACCGAUAGCGAACAAGUACCGUGAGGGAAAGAUGAAAAGAACUUUGAAAAGAGAGUUAAACAGUACGUGAAAUUGUCAAAAGGGAAGCGUUUGACACCAGUGUUGUUUUCUCGAAAAUCAAUUAAAAAUGGCUCGAUUUUGUAUUGCUUGAGACCUUAAAAGCUCACUGUACAUUUUUCGUGUCUUUUUUAAUGCACUUUUCGUUUAACAAGUCAACAUCAGUUUCUUUUGUUGUAAAAGGGUCAUUGGAAGGUGGCUUUCUUUUCGGAGAAAGUGUUUAUAGCCCUUGGCCUCUGCAACCGGAGAGACUGAGGUCUGCAGCGUAGACUCUUCGGGGUUAGAUACAUUUGUGCUAAGUUAUAGCUUCUUAUAGACAACUUGUUGACUAUAAUUAGUCUUGUAGCUUACUCGCUUAUGCUAAUUUUACCUACGCUUAGGAUGUUGAACUACUGAGACAUAGA